This 255-nucleotide ribosomal RNA is filed under the name uncultured bacterium. RNAcentral describes it as "partial 16S ribosomal RNA". It matches the Rfam family "Bacterial small subunit ribosomal RNA", at positions 524 to 776 of the family's 1533-position model. The record is from RNAcentral.
UACGUAGGGUGCAAGCGUUGUCCGGAAUUAUUGGGCGUAAAGAGCUCGUAGGUGGUUUGUCACGUUGUUCGUGAAAACCCACAGCUCAACUGUGGGCGUGCGAGCGAUACGGGCAGACUAGAGUACUGCAGGGGAGACUGGAAUUCCUGGUGUAGCGGUGGAAUGCGCAGAUAUCAGGAGGAACACCGGUGGCGAAGGCGGGUCUCUGGGCAGUAACUGACGUGAGGAGCGAAAAGCCGUGGGGGAGCGAACAGG